Spinacia oleracea (spinach) is the source of this 1058-nucleotide long non-coding RNA. RefSeq lists it as uncharacterized. Lineage: Eukaryota; Viridiplantae; Streptophyta; Magnoliopsida; Caryophyllales; Amaranthaceae. The transcript is spliced from 3 exons. The record is from RefSeq and is a predicted model, not a curated record.
CCUAAAUAAGUGAAAUUACUAAAAUGCCCUUACAAAUCCAAAAUGCCAAUUUUCUUCUUCUCUUUACUCUCCACGUACAAAGCAAGAAUGAAGAAAACUCUUCAUUCCUCUCCUUCCCUCAAUUCAGUCUUGAUUCAUGCCUUGAUCUCCAAGCCAUUUUCCUUCUCAUUCACUCUACUUUACUCUACAAAUCAGACACAAUUUCAACUAAAUUCCAACCAAAAAUAAAAAAAAUCAAAUUUCAAUUUCAUUUUUCUCUGUUUCUUUGAUUCGAACCAUCUCCCACCACCAUCAACCACCACCGUGACCACCUUGACCACCACUGGACCACCACUUUCACCAUCCCGCCUCGCCUCUGGCUGUUUCAGUCAACUACCACCACCGCGAUUUCCUCCAUUUCCUUCGACCAGAACGGGGCCGCAUUCCCCUGCCUCCCUCGCCUCCCCCUCUGCCGCACCACCUAACCACAACCACCACCAAUUCCAAACACCUCCUACCUCCUAAACCUACACACCGCCCCAACCUCCGGCAAAACUCCGCCCAGAACCGCCCAGAAACACCCUCAACCUCCCCUGCUUGGUUCGACCGUCCUCUCUCCCCUCCGUUGUUGUUUCUCCGCCGCGGAACAACCACCACCACCUUCGCCUCUGGCGCGGGUUCGCGGUGCUGCGCCGCCCAGCCCAGCCACCUAAUUCCUCCUCCCUUCUCUCUUCCUUCCCUUCGUACUCCUCUGUUUCGAGCACCCACCUCCCCGCUCCACGCUUCCUGUUUUCUUUUUUUUCCAGAAAACACGUUCCUACUUGGAACUCAGCCCCCUUUAUUUUCUCAAGCCAAGGCCCAAUUCUUUGGCCCAAUUUUCCAAAAAAUUGGACUCGGGGCUCAGGAAGGACGAUCCAUCAGACAGGAAGUAUAAAAACUACGGUUGAGGUACUGCUGGGGACCACGGAAACGAGUAGUGGCGAGGAUUUCACUAUUACCAAGUUCACCUAAGUUAAUGUUAAGUUGUAACAAGUUUCAGUAAAGAUUCGAGAUUAAGUUAUGUACUUUGAUUAAGGAAU